Molecule: ribosomal RNA, 253 nt
Filed under: uncultured bacterium
Lineage: Bacteria
Description: partial 16S ribosomal RNA
Rfam family: Bacterial small subunit ribosomal RNA
Source: RNAcentral
UACGGAGGGUGCGAGCGUUAUCCGGAAUUACUGGGUUUAAAGGGUGCGUAGGCGGCGUAGUAAGUCAGGAGUGAAAGUUUGCGGCUCAACCGUAAAAUUGCUUUUGAUACUGCUAUGCUAGAAUUAGGAUGAGGUCAGCGGAAUGUGGCAUGUAGCGGUGAAAUGCAUAGAUAUGACAUAGAACACCAAUUGCGAAGGCAGCUGGCUACACAAAUAUUGACACUGAGGCACGAAAGCGUGGGGAUCAAACAGG